Molecule: ribosomal RNA, 579 nt
Filed under: Saccharomyces cerevisiae (brewer's yeast)
Lineage: Eukaryota; Fungi; Ascomycota; Saccharomycetes; Saccharomycetales; Saccharomycetaceae
Description: partial large subunit ribosomal RNA
Rfam family: Eukaryotic large subunit ribosomal RNA
Source: RNAcentral
UGCCUUAGUAACGGCGAGUGAAGCGGCAAAAGCUCAAAUUUGAAAUCUGGUACCUUCGGUGCCCGAGUUGUAAUUUGGAGAGGGCAACUUUGGGGCCGUUCCUUGUCUAUGUUCCUUGGAACAGGACGUCAUAGAGGGUGAGAAUCCCGUGUGGCGAGGAGUGCGGUUCUUUGUAAAGUGCCUUCGAAGAGUCGAGUUGUUUGGGAAUGCAGCUCUAAGUGGGUGGUAAAUUCCAUCUAAAGCUAAAUAUUGGCGAGAGACCGAUAGCGAACAAGUACAGUGAUGGAAAGAUGAAAAGAACUUUGAAAAGAGAGUGAAAAAGUACGUGAAAUUGUUGAAAGGGAAGGGCAUUUGAUCAGACAUGGUGUUUUGUGCCCUCUGCUCCUUGUGGGUAGGGGAAUCUCGCAUUUCACUGGGCCAGCAUCAGUUUUGGUGGCAGGAUAAAUCCAUAGGAAUGUAGCUUGCCUCGGUAAGUAUUAUAGCCUGUGGGAAUACUGCCAGCUGGGACUGAGGACUGCGACGUAAGUCAAGGAUGCUGGCAUAAUGGUUAUAUGCCGCCCGUCUUAACACCCGAAACAA